Daphnia pulicaria is the source of this 472-nucleotide long non-coding RNA. RefSeq lists it as uncharacterized. The record is from RefSeq and is a predicted model, not a curated record. Lineage: Eukaryota; Metazoa; Arthropoda; Branchiopoda; Diplostraca; Daphniidae. The transcript has 4 exons.
CGAGCUCAUCAUUCGCUUUCAUCGUCUUCCAACAGCUGCAACACAUCGCCCUAAAAAUGAAUUUCAUUAUUCAGAUGGUCUUCUUCGUCGCCAUUUGCGCUGCCGUUUUACCCAGCUCAUCUGCUGUUCCAUUCGACAGUGAAGUACAAGGAGAAGAAGCUAUUUCGAUGCGCGAGGGCGACGCUAUCAAGGAGGCGUUAGUGGAAGAAAUUGACAAAGCUGCCGUGUGCACCGCGUGCCUGCAGAAAUGCUACUCCGCUCCUAACAAGGCUGUUUGUGUCACUGCAUGCAGACGCUAUUACUGUUAGACUACCAAGCAAUGCGAUGGAAUUCCGGCAUUUCAACUAAGACCACCCGACACACCAAGCAUCCGGACAUGGCAAUUACACCGACCCAGUCCACUUUUCCAAUGACUUCUCAUUAUUUUUAUUUUUUCCUUGUAUGGCCAAUACAAUAUAAUAGAUAGCACAAA